AUCCAGAUGACGAUUCCCAAAUAGGAUGAAACACGCGUCCACGAU
Molecule: non-coding RNA, 45 nt
Filed under: Trichobilharzia regenti
Lineage: Eukaryota; Metazoa; Platyhelminthes; Trematoda; Strigeidida; Schistosomatidae
Source: RNAcentral